AGAGUUUGAUCAUGGCUCAGGAUGAACGCUAGCGGGAGGCUUAACACAUGCAAGUCGAGGGGCAUCACGAGGUAGCAAUACUUUGGUGGCGACCGGCGCACGGGUGAGUAACACGUAUGCAACCUACCCUGUACAAGGGGAUAACCCGGAGAAAUUCGGACUAAUAUCCCAUGAUGAUAUUGAGGGGCAUCCUUUAAUAUUUAAAGCUCAGGCGGUACGGGAUGGGCAUGCGGAACAUUAGCUAGUUGGCAGGGUAACGGCCUACCAAGGCUACGAUGUUUAGGGGACCUGAGAGGGUUAUCCCCCACACUGGUACUGAGACACGGACCAGACUCCUACGGGAGGCAGCAGUGAGGAAUAUUGGUCAAUGGGCGCAAGCCUGAACCAGCCAUCCCGCGUGAAGGAAGAAGGCGCUAUGCGUUGUAAACUUCUUUUCCAGGGGGUGAAUAAUUCCGAUGUAUCGGGAGAUGACGGUACCCUGGGAAUAAGCAUCGGCUAACUCCGUGCCAGCAGCCGCGGUAAUACGGAGGAUGCGAGCGUUAUCCGGAUUUAUUGGGUUUAAAGGGUGCGUAGGCGGAACAAUAAGUCAGUGGUGAAAUUCUGCAGCUUAACUGUAGACUUGCCGUUGAUACUGUUGGUCUUGAGUAUGGUCAAGGCAGGCGGAAUGUGUAAUGUAGCGGUGAAAUGCUUAGAUAUUACACAGAACACCGAUUGCGAAGGCAGCUUGCUGGGCCAUUACUGACGCUGAUGCACGAAAGCGUGGGGAUCGAACAGGAUUAGAUACCCUGGUAGUCCACGCAGUAAACGAUGAUCACUCGCUGUUGGCGAUACACAGUCAGCGGCUAAGCAAAAGCAUUAAGUGAUCCACCUGGGGAGUACGGCCGCAAGGCUGAAACUCAAAGGAAUUGACGGGGGCCCGCACAAGCGGAGGAACAUGUGGUUUAA
Molecule: ribosomal RNA, 945 nt
Filed under: uncultured Bacteroidota bacterium
Lineage: Bacteria; Pseudomonadati; Bacteroidota
Description: bacterial SSU rRNA
Rfam family: Bacterial small subunit ribosomal RNA
Source: RNAcentral